RNAcentral lists this unclassified non-coding RNA (223 nucleotides) under Hevea brasiliensis (rubber tree). The record is from RNAcentral. Lineage: Eukaryota; Viridiplantae; Streptophyta; Magnoliopsida; Malpighiales; Euphorbiaceae.
GGGAGUGAGAGAAUAGUCGACGGCACCAUUUUCAGCCAAGUGCCAACGCCUUCUGUCACCUGCAAAUCUCACCUAUUUUUCUUCAUCAGUCUGCUCUACCAGUAACUCUUCAGUGAAAAUGGACUUAGCAACGGAAGGAUGGCGGAACAAUUUUGCUAAACCAAUGGCGAAAAGGGCUCAGCCGUACAGCCCCAGAGAUUUGUUUUCCAAGGGGAUAAAAAAG